UUAAGCGACUAAGCGUACACGGUGGAUGCCCUGGCAGUCAGAGGCGAUGAAGGACGUGCUAAUCUGCGAAAAGCGUCGGUAAGGUGAUAUGAACCGUUAUAGCCGGCGAUGUCCGAAUGGGGAAACCCAGUGCAAUUCGUUGCACUAUCGUUAACUGAAUACAUAGGUUAACGAGGCGAACCGGGGGAACUGAAACAUCUAAGUACCCCGAGGAAAAGAAAUCAACCGAGAUUCCCCCAGUAGCGGCGAGCGAACGGGGAGCAGCCCAGAGUCUGAAUCAGCUUGUGUGUUAGUGGAACGGUCUGGAAAGUCCGACGGUACAGGGUGAUAGUCCCGUACACCAAAAUGCACAGGUUGUGAACUCGAAGAGUAGGGCGGGACACGUGGUAUCCUGUCUGAAUAUGGGGGGACCAUCCUCCAAGGCUAAAUACUCCUGACUGACCGAUAGUGAACCAGUACCGUGAGGGAAAGGCGAAAAGAACCCCGGCGAGGGGAGUGAAAAAGAACCUGAAACCGUGUACGUACAAGCAGUGGGAGCCUCUUUAUGGGGUGACUGCGUACCUUUUGUAUAAUGGGUCAGCGACUUAUAUUCUGUAGCAAGGUUAACCGUAUAGGGGAGCCGAAGGGAAACCGAGUCUUAACUGGGCGUUAAGUUGCAGGGUAUAGACCCGAAACCCGGUGAUCUAGCCAUGGGCAGGUUGAAGGUUGGGUAACACUAACUGGAGGACCGAACCGACUAAUGUUGAAAAAUUAGCGGAUGACUUGUGGCUGGGGGUGAAAGGCCAAUCAAACCGGGAGAUAGCUGGUUCUCCCCGAAAGCUAUUUAGGUAGCGCCUCGUGAACUCAUCUUCGGGGGUAGAGCACUGUUUCGGCUAGGGGGUCAUCCCGACUUACCAACCCGAUGCAAACUACGAAUACCGAAGAAUGUUAUCACGGGAGACACACGGCGGGUGCUAACGUCCGUCGUGAAGAGGGAAACAACCCAGACCGCCAGCUAAGGUCCCAAAGUCAUGGUUAAGUGGGAAACGAUGUGGGAAGGCACAGACAGCCAGGAUGUUGGCUUAGAAGCAGCCAUCAUUUAAAGAAAGCGUAAUAGCUCACUGGUCGAGUCGGCCUGCGCGGAAGAUGUAACGGGGCUAAACCAUGCACCGAAGCUGCGGCAGCGACACUAUGUGUUGUUGGGUAGGGGAGCGUUCUGUAAGCCGUUGAAGGUGGCCUGUGAGGGUUGCUGGAGGUAUCAGAAGUGCGAAUGCUGACAUAAGUAACGAUAAAGCGGGUGAAAAGCCCGCUCGCCGGAAGACCAAGGGUUCCUGUCCAACGUUAAUCGGGGCAGGGUGAGUCGACCCCUAAGGCGAGGCCGAAAGGCGUAGUCGAUGGGAAACAGGUUAAUAUUCCUGUACUUGGUGUUACUGCGAAGGGGGGACGGAGAAGGCUAUGUUAGCCGGGCGACGGUUGUCCCGGUUUAAGCAUGUAGGCGGAGGUUCCAGGUAAAUCCGGUACCUUUUUAACGCUGAGGUGUGAUGACGAGGCACUACGGUGCUGAAGUAACAAAUGCCCUGCUUCCAGGAAAAGCCUCUAAGCAUCAGGUAACACGAAAUCGUACCCCAAACCGACACAGGUGGUCAGGUAGAGAAUACCAAGGCGCUUGAGAGAACUCGGGUGAAGGAACUAGGCAAAAUGGUGCCGUAACUUCGGGAGAAGGCACGCUGAUAUGUAGGUGAAGCGACUUGCUCGUGGAGCUGAAAUCAGUCGAAGAUACCAGCUGGCUGCAACUGUUUAUUAAAAACACAGCACUGUGCAAACACGAAAGUGGACGUAUACGGUGUGACGCCUGCCCGGUGCCGGAAGGUUAAUUGAUGGGGUUAUCCGUAAGGAGAAGCUCUUGAUCGAAGCCCCGGUAAACGGCGGCCGUAACUAUAACGGUCCUAAGGUAGCGAAAUUCCUUGUC
This 1948-nucleotide ribosomal RNA is filed under the name human gut metagenome. RNAcentral's name for it is "bacterial LSU rRNA". It matches the Rfam family "Bacterial large subunit ribosomal RNA", at positions 1 to 1973 of the family's 2925-position model. The record is from RNAcentral.